UUCUCUGAGCUUUUUUCCAAU
Caenorhabditis elegans is the source of this 21-nucleotide non-coding RNA. NCBI's taxonomy places the organism in Eukaryota, Metazoa, Nematoda, Chromadorea, Rhabditida, Rhabditidae. The record is from Ensembl.